RNA transcript from Pseudopipra pipra, 4641 nucleotides. It is a transcript of the gene named rogdi atypical leucine zipper, with no coding region annotated. The transcript is spliced from 13 exons. NCBI's taxonomy places the organism in Eukaryota, Metazoa, Chordata, Aves, Passeriformes, Pipridae. The record is from RefSeq and is a predicted model, not a curated record.
AAUGGCGGCGCCCGGGACGGAGCCGCGGCCGCCGGGGGCGGUGCGGACGGCGGCGGGAUGGCGGCGGCUAUGGCGAGCACGGCGGAGCGGGCGGUGCUGGAAGAAGAGUUUAAAUGGCUUUUACAAGAAGAGGUCCAUGCUGUUUUGAGGCAGCUGCAGGAUAUUUUGAAGGAGGCCUCCCACCGCUUUGCUCUGCCCACCAGUGGCUCAGGAGCAGCUGUCAGGCAGGAGAAUUUCGUACUGAGCACAUCAGGCACAGACCAGGUGAAAGGUGUGUUGACACUACAGGGAGACGCCCUAUGUCAAGCUGAUGUUAAUCUGAAAAUGCCCAGAAACAAUCAGCUCCUGCACUUUGCAUUCCGGGAAGACAAACAGUGGAAAUUGCAGCAGAUCCAGGAUGCCAGAAACCAUGUGAACCAAGCCAUUUACCUGCUUAUGAACCGAGAUGUGAACUACCAGUUCAAAACAGGCUCAGAGGUGCUCAAGCUUAUGGAUGCUGUGAUGUUGCAGCUCUCCAGAGCCCGAAAUCGGCUGACCACUCCAGCUACCCUAACACUACCAGAAAUUGCCUCUAGCGGUCUCACAAAAAUGUUCACCCCUGUGCUGCCUCCAGACAUCCUUGUGAAUUUCUAUAUUAAUCUGAACAAGCUGUGCCUCACUGUCUACCAGCUCCAUGUGCUGCAGCCCAGCACAACCAAGAACUUCAAGCCUGCUGGAGGGUCCAUUUUACACAACCCUGGGGCCAUGUUUGAGUUUGGCAGCCAGCGGUAUGAAGUCAGCCACGUCCAUAAAGUGGAAUGUGUUGUCCCGUGGUUAAAUGAUGCCCUUGUGUUCUUCACAGUUUCACUGCAGCUUUGCCAGCAACUGAAGGACAAGAUCUCCGUUUUCUCCAGUUACUGGAACUACAGGCCAUAUUAACUCUCUGUGGAAUAGUUUAAGCCCUUACAGUACUUCCAGUGUCUCUCUCUUUGUUUUCUCAUCCCAUCUGAGUCUAGGUCAGCCUGAGGAAUGUUGGAGUUCACUGCCAGAUGCCCUCCAAAGGGCAGGGUCAGUGUACCCAGAGACACAGCUUUAGUAGCCUUGUCUGGGACUGCUGCAUAAGCAGGUCACAAAGCAGUGCUGGGUGAUUGGAGCUUCCACCUGUCCCUGUCCUCUUGAGCAUUGUGUGCCUCACAUUUCCCAAGCUCCUGAUGAGUUACACGGGUCUGUUACAAGGGAUGAGGGCUCUGGACCACCCUCAUUAACUGGAUCUGUACACAGUGCUGUAACUUAACUCCUGGACUGGGGGGUGGCUGGGAAGAGGGGAAGGGUAAUUUAACACACUUCAUAAAAGGUAGGGCAUGUUGCUCCACGUAGUGAAGUACUUUGCUGUGAUCUGCUCCAGCUGUAGUUAUCACUAACCCUGAGUGACUCCCUCUCCUGCCUGUUCUGUCCAUGCCCAUGUUACUGAUUCGCCUUUGAGGAUGCUCUUACUUGCUGAUGUUUGAACUCUUUGGUUUUUUUUUCUUUUUUUCCCUGGCAUCAAUGUGAUUUUUUUUUUUCCCUAAGCCCUAGUUGGGCUCAUUGGUCUUUUCCAGGUUUAGUAUCUUGUUUUCGCUGCUAGCCUUUGGAGUUGCCUUGGUACCUUGAGCACAGCUGUUCAGUCCCUCAUCCUGUCAUUAAAUACAAACUUGGUUGUUUUCCAAGUGCCAUCCAGAGCUCUGUGUUCAAAGAAAUCACAGAAUGGUUGAGGCUGGAAGGGGGAUCUCUAGGUCUAUCCGGUCCAAUUCUCCUCUCAAGAAGGGCUGUCCAAACCUUGUCUCCCAGUACCGUGUUCAGAGGGGUUUUGAAUCACUCCAAGGGUGGAGACUAGAGGUUGGUAUGUUGCUUUCAUUUUUAUUUGUCCUGCAUAGACCUUUGCUCUGGGCAUGUGGCCUGUCUUGUCUGUGCCCUUCCUUCCUGCCCCUUUGUGAGAUCCCUGGGUGUGGCGUUUAUUAAUAUAAUAAACUCACACGACUUGGUUGGUUGGGGGUCCAAACAACCAAAUCUGUUUAUUGGGAGCAAACAGCAUCUUUUAUAUGCACUUUAAAACAACACGUGAUUCUCUUAACCAAUUACCAUGGGGCACCCCAGUGCCUAUGUGCAGGAGUACAAUUGGGACUUCAUCUCCCAGGAUGCUCCUUCCAGUAUCCCUAAAAUAUGCCCUUGCACCUGGGAUUCUGUGUGGGUUAGUGCCAGCCUUGUGCUGCUGCAGCCUCCUUCUCUGGGGACUCGACACUUGGUGCUGUGCUUGGCCUAAUGCAUGCUGAUGUCACAGGUUGCAGGCCAUAACAGAUCCUACACGUGACUGAUGAAUGUGUGUGAAUGAAUGUGGAAGGUAGAGAGGCCUGGAUGGGCUGAUGCAAUAGCAGACUUGUUACUGAUUCCAGUCAGCCUUAUGACUAGUUGCGGCCAUGACCCUGGGUGUGCAUUUACCAACCCUUGCUCUGAUCCAGACCAUUUUCUGCUUAGAAAGUGAUUGUGCAUGUGUGGAGCUGCUCACCAUUAACAGUCUCUCCAGAGGAGAAUGUUUUUAUGGUUAAUAAGCUCUCUGGUUAUUAACUGUCUAUGGUCUUUUUUAGCCCUCCCUUUGUGCAGAGUGAGCUCCUUUUUUAAUUCACACUAGUGCGUGCGGUUCAAUCAAUAGUGUCACAUCCUCUCCAACUCAGCUUCCUGCUGAUAGGGGUAGAAUAUGCAACCAAAUGCGUGUUGUUUUCUUCUGAUGAGAAAAGUCUUCCUCGGUUCUGGAAGGCAGGAGUGUGCAGAAUGGAAUGCCAGUCCUGAUUCCAGCUCUGAUGCGCGAGGGCAGUGCAGGGAGGACUGCUGGAGACUGCUUGAGUUGCUGGGAUCAGAGCAGCUGCCUGCCCAGCCCAGCUCCAAGGGAAGUCAUCUGGCACAUGCCUCGUGCUGAGCUCUGCACUCACCCAUCAAGGUGGCAAGAGCAGCAAUGUCCUGCUUAAUCUCAAAGAAUCUUUUUCUUGCCAACCAGCUCAGGAAGGUGUAGAUCUCACUUUCCAGGCCUGGGCUUUGGCUCGGCUCCAUUUCUGCUCAGAGCUUCUCGGGGGUGGGGGAGACCUGGGGACCUGCUGGGCAGUGAGACAGCCCCUGUGAGCCGGGAGGACUGGAAGAGAUGCAGCCACACGCUGCCAGUCCCUCGCUGGAGGAUGCAGGCCAUCACCUGAGUCAGGAGACUGGCCUUGCUUGCUUCUUGUAGAGGAGUCGAGUGGAUGGAAGCAUCAUGGCAGCGCUGUGUCAUCAGCUUUGGGGUACAGGGGAGGAUGCAUGUGGGUCACUGGGGACUGGAGCUAGGAAGAGCCUGGCGUACCCCACUCCCAGGGAGCAGCAGCCAGCAGCAGGCCUGUGCCCACUGGGAUCAGAAGGAGAGGUGUGGAGCUGAGUUGUGCAUUGGCUUUGUUCCUCCAGACACUCGAUCCUGGCAGAAUAUACGAAUCCAUGGGUGCUCAGCCUGAAUAUGAAAAUGCUGGCCUGCAUCCUUGUGGUGGGGAAAAAAAAGUGUUUUCCCCUGGAGCUAAAAAAAAUGGUAACCCCGAGGGGGUGGUGUUUCUUGGUGUUGACCCAAUCAGCGCCCCUGCAGAAUUAAAACAUAUCACACCAGACCGGAAAAGAAGGAGGAUGACGUAGCUGAAAAAGUGGCAGCCAUGGUCUGAGACCACGAGGAGACAGGGGGCUAGGAGCCCCGCUGGGGGCCAAGGCCCCACCAGCCCCCCGGCUGGGGCUGCAGAAACUCGGAAACAGUGUUAAACUGGGCUGAGUACUGUGGCCAAGAGCUGAGGGAGUUUUUCUCCACUGUGAGUGGGCAGCAGGAGUGGCAGCAGAGACAGCACCGAACAGAGAACUGCGGCUGAAAACCAAGAAGAUAAGAGAGAAGCAGCAUUGCAGCCAAGCUGACGGAGGGAGGGAGAGAGGACUAAACUCAACAAAGAUAGUUUUGGGGUAAGACUGAAUUAAAUCUCCCCAAAACCCCUUUGAGACCCCUCUUGGGAGGAGGGGGUGGACUUCUACUUGAUGGGAGUCCUAAAAUGCAGCAUGCACCGGAGAGAGGAACUGAGAAGCUCAGAGACGUCCUGGAAGCUGGACCAGGACGGCUGGACGGAAUGCGGGGGAAGUGGCCUUCUCCCUCCGCUGCUGCUGCCAGGCUGGCAGCUGAGACAGAGCAAAGGAGCUCUGAUGGGAUGCUUGGGGCAAAGACUGAACUGAGAGCAGCCCUAAAUGUUCUGACUUGAGGGAACUUGACCACUCGAGGAAGGGACUUUCAUGGGAUGUCUUACACCUCAUGAUAUGACAUGGUGAAGCAAGCUUUUGUCCCAGCAAUCGCAGUCCACAGGAGAGAGACCUUCACUUGGAGCUGAAGGACUGAGAGGGGUGAGAGGAGACCCCCUUGUGUGUAAUGGAGAGAGCCAGCUACAACAACUCCAGCUAUGACUGCUGCCCUGAACGUGCAAAGGAUCUUUCCUUCUUCCCUUCUGGACUUUUACUGGAGGGAGAGGAGACUUGAUCCAAUGUAAAUAUUGCUUUACCAUAGGAGAGAUAGUUAGAAUUGUGUAUAUAAUGUAUUAUAAUAUUUACUUGUGUAAUAAUUGUAAUAUAAUUCCCUUCCCCCCA